UGGAUACAGCCGCAAAGCUGUCGCGAUUGGCACGCGAAUUCCAGUCAACGCACGGCCUCUGAACUUCCAUGUCUCCGCAGCUCGCAAAUUUUUACCACCGUAACUUAUUCACGGUUAUCUUCGAAGGAUCGUAUCACCGGGCAGAGGCGAUGACAAGGAAGUUUACAAAUUGCAGAUUAAUUACAUGCAGCAGCUGACAUUCGUCGAAACUCCGGAUGCCUUUAUUGAAUUAUCUACUUUCUUACUACCUACGUCAGCAAAUUUCUGCCACCUCCGUAACACUAAAUGUUUCAAUUAGCACCUGGACGAUUAAAGGUAACAGUAAAUGCAGCUGGAAGAUCUUUUCGAGUUCGGGAACAAGAUCCUGUCCGACGACUUUAUGGAGAUGAAGGCUUUUGCCUAGCUAAAAUACGGCAGAUUUUUAGAAUCGGAUUGGGAUUGAAGAAACCGACUCUUCUCAUGUUCUGCAGGAAGAAAGGCUACCAUUAUUUGAAAUGGAUGACCUAAAAAAUUAUUGGUACUGGUUCAUGACAGUGGGGUUGUACAGGCAAGCCUAAAGGGCAUUAGCCAAAAGAAAUGCUAAACCUCAGUGAGAAACCUGCAUGGCAAGUGACGAGAAACACCAUCAAAGAUAUUCGGGUCUCUCCAACUCGAUUGCAGUCAAGUAGCAGAAAUAAACAGAUCCUCAUUGGAGUCCCAACCAUCUGCUGUUACCCAUCGGAGCUUGAGGCGACCCCCAUUGAUAAAAAUCGUCGUUGAACCACCGAAACCCAACUUCUAUUGUCAAACUAGGUCGGCAGCUGUGCAUCUACAUCUUUGGUGGCAUCGGAUAUCUAAAUAGAACCUCAAUACACCAAAUCCAGAUGAAAGGUCGAAGCGAUUCUACUGGAUUGACCCAUGUCAAGGAUUAGUAAGCCAGUCCUCAUGCUAUGGUGGCAACAUCAGUCGAUUUUCCUAUGCAGCAGUGUCCACUAUUCAGCCAACUCAAAAGAUAGCACUAGCUGUGUGAUAAUAUGAAUUCAUUGUCAAGCAGCCUUAAUCGAAGUUAGUUAAUGCAUUGGUAGCGUAAUUUGCUACCGGGUGAAGGAGAAAAUGUAAGCUUUCGUGCAACGCUAAUCAACCUCAUCUGCAGCCAACGAAACAGUGUCCUCGACUCGAAUCCGACUUUUUUCAUCUUCACAUCACUCAUGCACCGUAAACCAGCUCUACAAAUAGUAACCUAAAACGCAUUGAAAUUUAUAAUAAUAUUGUAAUUAGUUCUGAUCUCAGGUUCUGAUAAAUAAAUAAUGGAUCAUUUCUACAAUUGUUUUUUCUCGUUCAUAAUUAAAAACAAAACAAAAUUGAAAUAUUUCAAACGGAGGACAAGCAGGUACGAUAUGCUAUGAAGGAUUUUCAGUAAGUUAAACUAUGAUUCGUAUAAAUCAAAGUUAUACUAAGCUCGUUUAUGUGGCACUUAUACGAAGUCGGGGUCAACCAGGAGA
Long non-coding RNA from Armigeres subalbatus, 1481 nucleotides. RefSeq lists it as uncharacterized. NCBI's taxonomy places the organism in Eukaryota, Metazoa, Arthropoda, Insecta, Diptera, Culicidae. The transcript has 3 exons. The record is from RefSeq and is a predicted model, not a curated record.